UUGCAUCAUAAUAGUAUUUGAAGUUUCUUAGCUCAAGGGAAAACUGUCUGCAUUACAUAUCUCUGCAGAAUGCCCAGCCUUCUCAGCCAGGCUCUCAGUAUCUCUGGGGAGAGUAUAUCUGCCAUUGGUAAAGUUUGCAAAACAACAGGGCUACUGAUUGAUUUAGGAAGUGACAAAUGUGUCAGCAUUCCCCUGUGAGAAGAUGUGGAAAUCUGGCUUGUCCAAACAUCCUUGGCAACUACGACAAAGUCUUUUCAAUUGUGAGUCCAGUGGUGCAAUCUCAUCUCUCUGCAAUCUCUGCCUCAUGGGUUCAAGUGAUUCUCCUGCCUCAGACUCCUGAGUCUGUGAAAGAAUCUGCUUCCAGGUUCAUUCAAGUCAUUGGUAAAAUUCUGUUUUUUGUAGUUGCAGGAAUGAAGAUUUUUUCCUUCCUAGCUAGGUUUCAACUUCAGGUUGCUGCUGGUUGUCUCCUGAGUAGCUGGGAUUACAGGCAUGUGCCACAAUGCCUGGCUAAUUUUUGUAUUUUUAGUAGAGACGGGGUUUCAUCAUGUUGGUCAGGCUGGUCUCAAACUCCUGACCUCGUGAUCAGUCCGCCUUGGCCUCCCAAAGUGCUGGGCCCUCAUUAAGUUCCAUUCUAAUGUUAUAGAUGUUAAUAGCAUCUCUCCAGAUUGCACAGUAUGUAAUAUCCUGAAUGUACCAUUUUAUAUUUUGCCAUUUAGACAUUUGAGUUGCUUUCAUUGUUUUGUUAGUACAAAUUAUACUGCUAUUUGUAUCUUUGUACUUUUUAAUGUGCCAGCUUUUCCCUAAGGUAGUAAAAUUUUGUUCUAUUUUAAAUUUUAAUAGAAACUGCCAAAUCACUUAUAAAUUAUUCUUUCUUCCACCUGAGACAGUAUUUAAUAUAUCAAAAUAUUAUCAGUAUUUUAAAUUUAUUGUCAGUCUGAUGGAGUUUUACCUUGAUUUUUUCUUAUUACUAGCUUAGGUUGACAUAUCUUUAUAUUGUUACUAGCUACUCAUAUGACCUUUUCUAAGAGUGGUUUGUCAUUUUUCUGGUGGGUUUUUCAUCAUUUUCUUAGUGUUUAGUUUAUUUAACAAAUACACACUGUGGUUAUUACAUGCCAGGUACUGUUCUAACAGCUUGAAAAUUAUGAACUUAAUAAACCUUAUAACAACUCGAUGAGGUGGGUACUAUUAUUAUUUCUAUUCUGCAAAAUGCAGAGACUGAGCCUAGAGAAGUUGAAACACUUUCUCAAGGUUAUACAGCUGGUAAGUAGCUGAACUGGGAUUCAAACUCCUGUGGGUGGCUCCAAAGUCUGUACUCUCAUUUACUAUCUUAUAUGCAAAAGGUUUCUUUAAAUCUAUUCUGCAUGUUCUCUGUUUUCUAUAUGACAGAUAUUUUUCACAGU
RNAcentral lists this long non-coding RNA (1400 nucleotides) under Papio anubis (olive baboon). RNAcentral's name for it is "lncRNA (ENSPANG00000042068.1)". The record is from RNAcentral. Lineage: Eukaryota; Metazoa; Chordata; Mammalia; Primates; Cercopithecidae.